Molecule: ribosomal RNA, 460 nt
Filed under: uncultured bacterium
Lineage: Bacteria
Description: partial 16S ribosomal RNA
Rfam family: Bacterial small subunit ribosomal RNA
Source: RNAcentral
CCUACGGGAGGCUGCAGUGAGGAAUAUUGGUCAAUGGACGAGAGUCUGAACCAGCCAAGUAGCGUGAAGGAUGACUGCCCUACGGGUUGUAAACUUCUUUUAUAAAGGAAUAAAACGAGGCACGUGUGCCUUUUUGCAUGUACUUUAUGAAUAAGGAUCGGCUAAUUCCGUGCCAGCAGCCGCGGUAAUACGGAGGAUCCGAGCGUUAUCCGGAUUUAUUGGGUUUAAAGGGAGCGUAGAUGGGUUGUUAAGUCAGUUGUGAAAGUUUGCGGCUCAACCGGAAAAUUGCAAUUGAUACUGGCAGUCUUGAGUACAGUUGAGGUAGGCGGAAUUCGUGGUGUAGCGGUGAAAUGCUUAGAUAUCACGAAGAACCCCGAUUGCGAAGGCAGCUUACUAAACUGUGACUGACAUUGAUGCUCGAAAGUGUGGGUAUCGAACAGGAUUAGAUACCCGAGUAGUC